This 460-nucleotide ribosomal RNA is filed under the name uncultured bacterium. Its description in RNAcentral is "partial 16S ribosomal RNA". It matches the Rfam family "Bacterial small subunit ribosomal RNA", at positions 338 to 795 of the family's 1533-position model. The record is from RNAcentral.
CCUACGGGUGGCAGCAGUGAGGAAUAUUGGUCAAUGGGCGGAAGCCUGAACCAGCCAAGCAGCGUGCAGGAUGACGGCCCUACGGGUUGUAAACUGCUUUUAUACGGGAAUAACGCGCCUUACGUGUAGGGCUCUGCAUGUACCGUAUGAAUAAGGACCGGCUAAUUCCGUGCCAGCAGCCGCGGUAAUACGGAGGGUCCGGGCGUUAUCCGGAUUUAUUGGGUUUAAAGGGAGCGUAGGCGGCAUGUCAAGCGUGCUGUGAAAUGUCCGGGCUCAACCCGGGCCGUGCAGCGCGAACUGGCGGUCUAGAGUGCGCGGAAGGCAGGCGGAAUUCGUGGUGUAGCGGUGAAAUGCUUAGAUAUGACGAAGAACCCCGAUUGCGAAGGCAGCUUGCUGCAGCGGAACUGACGCUGAGGCUCGAAAGCGCGGGUAGCGAACAGGAUUAGAUACCCGGGUAGUC